This 253-nucleotide ribosomal RNA is filed under the name uncultured bacterium. RNAcentral describes it as "partial 16S ribosomal RNA". It matches the Rfam family "Bacterial small subunit ribosomal RNA", at positions 524 to 776 of the family's 1533-position model. The record is from RNAcentral.
UACGUAGGGGGCUAGCGUUGUUCGGAAUUACUGGGCGUAAAGCGCGCGUAGGCGGUCCUGCAAGUCGGGGGUGAAAGCCCGAGGCUCAACCUCGGAACUGCCUUCGAUACUGCGGGUCUCGAGUCCGGGAGAGGUGAGUGGAAUUCCUAGUGUAGAGGUGAAAUUCGUAGAUAUUAGGAAGAACACCAGUGGCGAAGGCGGCUCACUGGCCCGGUACUGACGCUGAGGCGCGAAAGCGUGGGGAGCAAACAGG